GUUGUUCUACUCCUGGACCCCUUUUAGCAUUUAAUUUAAUUUAAUUUUUUCUAUUUUAACGCCAAAUGCUACUGAAGGGCAUGCAUGUACACCAAGGAAAUAAUAGUUGAAUGGUUAAACUGUCCGUAAUAGUUUGACUUUGAGAGGUUGGUCCAAAUUAGGUGUGUUCGAGGAGGAGUAAGUGCAUUUCCCAAAAAAUAAAGAGAGAGGGAAAAAGAAAAGGAGGAGCAUCGAGGCGAACGAAUUUCACUGUUUGCUCGGUGGUUGUUCGAUCUCGGAACAGGGCUAUACUCAAACCCGAAUUUCCUGUAAUCGUGUUUGGUACCGAUUCUUACUCGGGAAACCGUAGUUCCAGCUCGGAAAUCUCGCUGUUCGUGAAAUUCCUGUGAAUUCCAUGCUCCGGUUGAAGUUCGGAGAAGAAGGCACCCGAUCCGAGAAAUGAUAACCCGGUCCAAACUCGCCGAGCAACUCAGAGACUACCAGAUCCGAUCCCAGCAAAAGUGUCCCGCUCUCACUGUCUUCUCUCCCAAACCCCAUAUCACUUCCUGAUGGAUGCUUGGACAGUUUUGACAACAUGAGACCCGCUGAGGUUGCAGCUGGUUUGGAUAUGUCAAGGAUAGGCAGGGUAUGAAGGAAAAUGUGGAGGGAUAGAGGGAGAAUGGGUGUGAUUGCACAGGAAUCGACUCAGUCAGGAUUUGAUUGGACGUGACUGCUUGGUUUUAUCUUUGCUUGGCUGAUGUCUCUGUGGCGAUCUUUUGGGCUUUAGUGUUUAGCGUGCUUGUGGUGUCAUCCUAUGUGUCCAUGUACUUCAGGCACUUUUGGCUCUCAUUUGUGAUUAUCUGCCUCGGUAUCCUUCUUCCAGUACGCCUAAGAAAAUCUAGGCAGGCACUGGCCAGGAAGAAGGAGGGAAGAUUGUUGUUACCAUUAUCCAUGUGAACAUCUAUGGCAGUGAAAUCAUGCAGCCAUGUUCUUUAGCUGAUAAUGACUCAUUGCUCACCUUCGAUUCAUUUGGCUUUCGCUAGAAUGUAUUAGACACUUGGGUACUGAUAUGGUGAAAACGGCUCUUGCUUGCAGCUUUUUGAGAUAGAUGGUUUUCUCCUCUCUCUCUCCCUCUCUCAAUGGUCGUCUAGUGGCAGUUGGAUACUGCGAAAUACAGUUACUAUUAUAGUGAGUGGAUCGAUUUGUAGGAUAUUGUAGGGUUCAUAGGGUGGCUGGAUAUGUGAAUUAUAUAAUCCUGCAUGCUGAUGGUGCAUUAUGAUAGGAUUCGUUUGGUGCCUGCGAUGCAUACAACUGACGCAUGGCAUGUGCUUUGAGUGCAAAAAAGUUGACGUAGUGGCACAGGAAAGAAAGUAACUUUAUCAAACAUGUUGUCCACAUGAGCCGCAGCUUUGGCCCUAGAGAAUACAAUUUGACUUUGCUUAAUAUUUCUUUUUUCUAGGAAUUUUAGUGACUGAUGAUGGGUAGUGUUAACCUGUGGAAUGGUGUCAGUAGGAACGUUGUGUUUUAUAGCUAAAAGAAUGGCAUGUUAAUAGAACCGAAAGCCUUACUACUCGGGUAAAGUGUCAUCCCAGACCUUAUCACGAAAGAGAAUUUAUCUA
Non-coding RNA from Corylus avellana, 1598 nucleotides. The record is from RefSeq and is a predicted model, not a curated record. Lineage: Eukaryota; Viridiplantae; Streptophyta; Magnoliopsida; Fagales; Betulaceae.